RNAcentral lists this ribosomal RNA (562 nucleotides) under uncultured bacterium. RNAcentral describes it as "bacterial SSU rRNA". It matches the Rfam family "Bacterial small subunit ribosomal RNA", at positions 338 to 918 of the family's 1533-position model. The record is from RNAcentral.
CCUACGGGAGGCAGCAGUGGGGAAUCUUGGACAAUGGGGGCAACCCUGAUCCAGCCAUGCCGCGUGAGUGAUGAAGGCCUUAGGGUCGUAAAGCUCUUUCGCCUGUGAUGAUAAUGACAGUAGCAGGUAAAGAAACCCCGGCUAACUCCGUGCCAGCAGCCGCGGUAAUACGGAGGGGGUUAGCGUUGUUCGGAAUUACUGGGCGUAAAGCGCGCGUAGGCGGAUUAGUCAGUUAGAGGUGAAAUCCCAGGGCUCAACCCUGGAACUGCCUUUAAUACUGCUAGUCUUGAGUUCGAGAGAGGUGAGUGGAAUUCCGAGUGUAGAGGUGAAAUUCGUAGAUAUUCGGAGGAACACCAGUGGCGAAGGCGGCUCACUGGCUCGAUACUGACGCUGAGGUGCGAAAGUGUGGGGAGCAAACAGGAUUAGAUACCCUGGUAGUCCACACCGUAAACGAUGAAUGCCAGUCGUCGGGUAGCAUGCUAUUCGGUGACACACCUAACGGAUUAAGCAUUCCGCCUGGGGAGUACGGUCGCAAGAUUAAAACUCAAAGGAAUUGACGGGG